GAUGAACGCUGGCGGCGUGCCUAAUACAUGCAAGUCGAGCGAACGGACGAGAAGCUUGCUUCUCUGAUGUUAGCGGCGGACGGGUGAGUAACACGUGGAUAACCUACCUAUAAGACUGGGAUAACUUCGGGAAACCGGAGCUAAUACCGGAUAAUAUUUUGAACCGCAUGGUUCAAAAGUGAAAGACGGUCUUGCUGUCACUUAUAGAUGGAUCCGCGCUGCAUUAGCUAGUUGGUAAGGUAACGGCUUACCAAGGCAACGAUGCAUAGCCGACCUGAGAGGGUGAUCGGCCACACUGGAACUGAGACACGGUCCAGACUCCUACGGGAGGCAGCAGUGGGGAAUCUUGGGCAAAGGGCGAAAGCCUGACGGAGCAACACCGCGUGAGUGAUGAAGGUCUUCGGGUCGUAAAGCUCUGUUAUUAGGAAAGAACAUAUGUGUAAGAAACUGUGCACAUCUUGACGGUACCUAAACAGAAAGCCACGGCUAACUACGUG
This 497-nucleotide ribosomal RNA is filed under the name uncultured bacterium. RNAcentral describes it as "partial 16S ribosomal RNA". It matches the Rfam family "Bacterial small subunit ribosomal RNA", at positions 28 to 507 of the family's 1533-position model. The record is from RNAcentral.